Molecule: transfer RNA, 66 nt
Filed under: Mirhipipteryx andensis
Lineage: Eukaryota; Metazoa; Arthropoda; Insecta; Orthoptera; Ripipterygidae
Description: tRNA-Pro
Source: RNAcentral
CAGAGGAUAGUUUAAGCAGAAUAUUAAUUUUGGGGAUUAAAGAUAUAGGAUUUUCUAUUCCUCUGA